Molecule: ribosomal RNA, 432 nt
Filed under: uncultured bacterium
Lineage: Bacteria
Description: partial 16S ribosomal RNA
Rfam family: Bacterial small subunit ribosomal RNA
Source: RNAcentral
AACGAACGCUGGCGGCAUGCCUAACACAUGCAAGUCGAACGAGACCUUCGGGUCUAGUGGCGCACGGGUGCGUAACGCGUGGGAACCUGCCCUUAGGUUCGGAAUAACUCCCCGAAAGGGGUGCUAAUACCGGAUAAUGUCUUCGGACCAAAGAUUUAUCGCCUUUGGAUGGGCCCGCGUUGGAUUAGCUAGUUGGUAGGGUAAAAGCCUACCAAGGCGACGAUCCAUAGCUGGUCUGAGAGGAUGAUCAGCCACACUGGGACUGAGACACGGCCCAGACUCCUACGGGAGGCAGCAGUGGGGAAUAUUGGACAAUGGGCGAAAGCCUGAUCCAGCAAUGCCGCGUGAGUGAUGAAGGCCUUAGGGUUGUAAAGCUCUUUUACCCGGGAUGAUAAUGACAGUACCGGGAGAAUAAGCACCGGCAAACUCCGU